GAAAUGCGAUAAGUAAUGUGAAUUGCAGAAUUCAGUGAAUCAUCGAAUCUUUGAACGCACCUUGCGCUCCUUGGUAUUCCUUGGAGCAUGCCUGUUUGAGUAUCAUGAAAUCUUCAAAGUAAAUCUUUUGUCAACUCAAUUGGUUUCUACUUUGGUAUUGGAGGUCUUUGCAGCUUCACACCUGCUCCUCUUUGUUCAUUAGCUGGAUCUCAGUGUUAUGCUUGGUUCCACUCGGCGUGAUAAGUUAUCUAUCGCUGAGGACACUGUAAAAGGUGGCCAAGGUAAAUGCAGAUGAACCGCUUCUAAUAGUCCAUUGACUUGGACAAUACUUUUAUGAUCUGAUCUCAAAUCAGGUAGGACUACCCGCUGAACUUAAGC
Molecule: unclassified non-coding RNA, 378 nt
Filed under: plant metagenome
Description: partial contains 5.8S ribosomal RNA, internal transcribed spacer 2, and large subunit ribosomal RNA
Rfam family: 5.8S ribosomal RNA (bases 1-105)
Source: RNAcentral